RNAcentral lists this long non-coding RNA (1301 nucleotides) under Callithrix jacchus (white-tufted-ear marmoset). Its description in RNAcentral is "lncRNA (ENSCJAG00000086924.1)". The record is from RNAcentral. Lineage: Eukaryota; Metazoa; Chordata; Mammalia; Primates; Cebidae.
UCUAAACAACUGGGCCAGAUUUAAAAUACACCUGAUGACAACAAUAACAAUGUUUACAGAAUCAUAGUGAAAAUCAUAGUCGGUCUCAGAAUGGUAAUUUUUUUUAUGACAGUCCAUGUCGGCUUAUCAGAAAGUGACUUUAACAAGAGUGAGAGGGGGGUAGUUUCCUUAGAUGACUAACUAAAAGGGGCGUGGCUUUAAAAAAGUAGGUGAAACAAUCUUAUCCCGAGAUCUUUUUUGCAAAGAAGAGUUAUUUAAAUAUGCCAUUUUGCCUCAUUGGGAUUCUGCAGUUUAGGGACAAAGCCUGCCUUAUUCCUCCUGUUGUAUGGAGUCUAUAAAUGCUGAUAAAGAACCCUGAACCUGGCAUUUGGGAAAUGACAUGCCAGCGCCCAUGCUGUCCAUUGUGAUAUUCCUACUACUCCAAGUCUCCCGAACUAGGCAUAGUGUCUCGAUGCCAAUUGUGAUGAUGCUUCCUGUCAUCACUUGUUCAAGAGACUCAUGGUAGAUGAUCAAGUCAUUCAAGGAAAACCGUUAAUACAGUAGGAAAAAUAGGGUUUAUGUAGAGAAGUCUUGACUGAGAGAUCCUGCUUCCUAGUGAAAUCCUUCUACCCUGGGCAUGCUUGAGCUUCAAACCUAGGGGAUGCUCUUAUUGGCACAAGGCUUUUCCAAAAAUCAACCCAGUUCCUGGUACAGCUCUCUGAAUGUUGUUUGCUAAAACCUCAAAAAACUGGCCUUGUCAGGGUACAGAGGAGCCUCAAUGAACACUGGAAGGUGUCCAUGGGCUCCCUUGGGACAAGUAUUAUUACAGUUUCAGCAAUAUUACAGUUUUUGUUUGUUUGUUGUUUUGAGAGGGAGUCUUACUCUGUCACCAAGGCUGGAGUGCAAUGGCGUGAACUUGGCUCACUGCAACCUCUGCCUCCCAGGAGAAUUGCCUGAACCCAGGAGGCGGAGGUUGCGGUGAGCCGAGAUCGCGCCAUUGCACUCCAGCCUGGGUAACAAGAGCGAAACUCCAUCUCAAAAAAAAAAAAAAAAAAAAAAUCAAAAGUAAGACGUGAAAUGACUCCCCCUUUUUAGAAAGAUUCAUCGUAAACCUAAAUGUAUAGUUUGUCUCAGAUGCUUAAAAACUGUUGCACCUAAAUCUUUAUCAUUGAUUAAAUUCCUUCACUAACAUUUUUGUGAAUGCAAAGGAAAGGCAGGAACCCAUUUAGAAAUUCUUUGUAUGUUUACAAGCAAUUAUUGAGUGCCUGGCUGACUUUUAACCAGAUCAUGCGAAUUUCAUUUGUCUAACUGUCCUUCUAGUU